GGAUCGCUUUGUCAAUAGCCUGGUUCGCCAUCGUGACCGAACACCCCUGCUUGAAUGCGAGAUUCUGUCUAAUCCUGGUUGGCAGAUGGAUGAGGAUGAGUUUGACCCGGAUGAGUUGCUCCGUUAUGCUUUAUCGUGCAAAGUGAGGGUUCUUCGACUCAAAAUCUCAAGUGGUCCUUAUUUGCGGCUAUCAACCGGGUCUCUCAUAUCUGAGCACUUGACAAGGAUAACUCUUUAUCGUGUUGAGUUUGUGGAUUUCUCUCUAGAUGUUUCCUGCUGUCAAUCACUCAAGGAGUUGGAGAUGAACAGAUGUGAAAUCAACAGUGAGAACAUUGGGACUGACUUUCCAAAAUCUUUACGACUUCUAAGAAUCAGAAAUUCAGGUUUUCUCCCUGAGCAAGACCGGUCUUUUAUUUCUGCGCCAGGUCUGGUUACCCUGGAACUAGCUGACUGUAACGAUUGGACUCCGUGGCUUAAGAGCUUGCCAUCAUUGGUAACUGCAUUUAUCAGGAUUAGAUUUAAGUGUUUUUGCGCGGGCUGUGAUGAGCCAUGAGUGAAGUGUCGUGAUUUGGAGAUGGGGUGCUUCUCGAAGGUUUGUCAGGUGUUACAAACUUAGAGCUGAUAAGUCAUCACUUUAUGGUUUUCAGAAAGGAGAUAAAUUGUUACCCUACGUUUAGCAAGCUCAAAACAUUGCUGCUCGGUGACUGGUGUAUGGCUUCUAACUUCAGUGGACUACUUUACUUUCUCCAGCACUCACCAAUUCUAGAGAGGUUUACACUUCAACUUGGAAUUUCCUCCAAGAAAACUAAAAUGCAUGAAGUCUACAAGCCAAGGAAACAAUUCUUAGUGUCAAAGCAUCUCAAGUCAUUUGAAAUCACAUAUUUCAAGAAAGAUGGAAGGGUUCACCAAAUAUUGAACUUCCUUGUUUACCAUGGAAUACUUCCGGAACUGAUAAACAUCGAAAGGAAGCCCUAUGUUGACUACUUCAGUUUUGAGCGCAAGCAGUAGUUCAGACAUCUACAGCUGCUUCUCUAUUCAGACUCCCAUGUCUUUGAAUCUUUCACCACAAGGUCUUGUGUUUUGUCAACCAAGGUCUGCGUGCAACUCAUAUCAUAUUCGCAUAAAGCAUGAACUCUUGCUGAAUUUUUAUGUAGCUCGCCUGGAUUCAGUUGCAAAGGCUCGAACGCCAUCACUGUCCUGUUUGCACCUAUUGCUCGUUUCCUGAAAUCUGUUCGGCCUGAACUGAAUGACCUGCUUAAGGCCUACGUUCUAAUGACCUGCUUAAAUCUGUAUCCACUAUCCAGUUCUAUCUAGUGAACUUUAAAUGAUAUACUUCGAAAGUUCUAUCGAGUGAACUUUAAAUGAUAUACUUGGAAGACUG
Molecule: long non-coding RNA, 1381 nt
Organism: Lolium rigidum
Lineage: Eukaryota; Viridiplantae; Streptophyta; Magnoliopsida; Poales; Poaceae
Exons: 4
Source: RefSeq, a predicted model, not a curated record